This 419-nucleotide unclassified non-coding RNA is filed under the name soil metagenome. RNAcentral's name for it is "partial contains 5.8S ribosomal RNA, internal transcribed spacer 2, and large subunit ribosomal RNA". The stretch from base 1 to 120 matches the Rfam family "5.8S ribosomal RNA", at positions 35 to 154 of the family's 154-position model. The record is from RNAcentral.
GAUGAAGAACGUAGCGAAAUGCGAUAAGUAAUGUGAAUUGCAGAAUUCAGUGAAUCAUCGAAUCUUUGAACGCAUCUUGCGCUCCUUGGUAUUCCUUGGAGCAUGCCUGUUUGAGUAUCAUGAGCAAAUCUCAAAGUCAAUUCCUUUUGUUAAUUCAAUUGGUUUUGCUUUGGACUUGGAGGUCUUGCAGAUUUUCACAGUCUGCUCCUCUUAAAUGCAUUAGCUGGAUCUCAGUAAUUAUGCUUGGUUCCACUCGGCGUGAUAAGUAUCACUCGCUGAGGACACUGUUAAAAAGGUGGCCAGGAAAAUACUGAUUGAACCGCUUCUAACGGUCUAUUAAGUUAGACAAUUACCCUUAAGUUUGUUCUCAAAUCAGGUAGGACUACCCGCUGAACUUAAGCAUAUCAAUAAGCGGAGGA